AGAAGAUGUGAGUACCCACAGUGAGUAAAAGAACAGAGUGGCACAAUGACAUAGAUCGAGUGCAUUUGAUAAAGUUAAUGUGAAAUGACACUAGAGUUAGUGUGAUGUAAAAGAACUAAAGUGAUGUAAAGCAUAAAGAAGGUGACAACGUGUAAAGUUAAAGUAAAAGAAAUGCAAAGAACAAUGAUUGCUAGAGUUAGCAAGAGUAAUGAAAAUGUAAAGAAUGUGAUUGCAUGAUUUUGCAACAUAAAGUGAUGUAAAGAA
This 264-nucleotide long non-coding RNA is filed under the name Ananas comosus (pineapple). RNAcentral describes it as "long non-coding RNA (ACOM_LNC044462)". Lineage: Eukaryota; Viridiplantae; Streptophyta; Magnoliopsida; Poales; Bromeliaceae. The record is from RNAcentral.